Dreissena polymorpha is the source of this 1578-nucleotide long non-coding RNA. RefSeq lists it as uncharacterized. The transcript is spliced from 7 exons. Lineage: Eukaryota; Metazoa; Mollusca; Bivalvia; Myida; Dreissenidae. The record is from RefSeq and is a predicted model, not a curated record.
AACGAAUAUAAAGCUCAUAACGUGAUGAAAACGGUUGAGGGUCUCCCAAAACCACCCAGUGCCUUGCGAUGAAAACCUCCAAGGGACUGUGACCUUGCCCUUGUACACACCUAAUGGUCAGGUUGACGGUCACUUGGGCUUAGAUAGUCACUGCAGUAAGAACGUUAAAGUAGAUGACUUAACAACAUGACAUCCGAGACUGCAGGGAUGAAAUGAGUGUCCUCACUUCAGCAGAGGAAGCCAAGACACAUUACGAGAAUUUCCAGCGGCUUACCUGCUUAAAACCUGGGAAGCAGAGCAAUGAGUAUGUCCCAGGAGCAUUUGCAGUCACAGCAAGUGAACCAGCGGCGGUCAUCGUCUCCAGAUUCUGAGAUCCCCAUGCUUCACAACCCUUAGUCUAUGAAAAUCAUGCAGAGCGAACCUUGGACAUUGACGAAAUCAACCCGGCAAAUCAGAAGGACAGCCUGUUGCUACAGUUAUCAUAUUAACCCCAGUCAUACCAAAGAAGCUCAGAGAUAUAAAUGCUGUUUAAGAUGUGCUAGUCUCUACAUACUCCAUGUCUGGUGUGAACAUGUACAAUUGAAGGUCUCUACAUACCCAAUGUCUGGUGUGAACAUGUACAAUUGAAUGUCUCUACAUACUCCAUGUCUGGUGUGAACAUGUACAAUUGAAUGUCUCUACAUACUCCAUGUCUGGUGUGAACAUGUACAAUUGAAGGUCUCUACAUACUCCAUGUCUGGUGUGAACAUGUACAAUUGAAGGUCUCUACAUACCCCAUGUCUGGUGUGAACAUGUACAAUUGAAGGUCUCUACAUACUCCAUGUCUGGUGUGAACAUGUACAAUUGAAGGUCUCUACAUACCCCAUGUCUGGUGUGAACAUGUACAAUUGAAGGUCUCUACAUACUCCAUGUCUGGUGUGAACAUGUACAAUUGAAGGUCUCUACAUACUCCGUGUCUGGUGUGAACAUGUACAAUUGAAGGUCUCUACAUACCCCAUGUCUGGUGUGAACAUGUACAAUUGAAGGUCUCUACAUACCCCAUGUCUGGUGUGAACAUGUACACUUGAAUGUCUCUAUAUACCCCAUGUCUGGUGUAAACAUGUACAAUUGAAGGUCUCUACAUACCACAUGUCUGGUGUGAACAUGUACAAUUAAAGGUCUGUACAUACCCCAUGUCUGGUGUGAACAUGUACAAUUGAAGGUCUCUACGUACCCCAUGUCCGGUGUGAACAUGUACAAUUGAAGGUCUCUACAUACCCCGUGUCCGGUGUGAACAUGUACAAUUGAAGGUCUCAUCUUUGAAAUUGGGACAGGUGGAAAAUUGAUGCAUUGAUGCAGACAGAAGUCGCAUAAUGACAAAUCACAACAAAAAGUGGAAAUCCAGACAGUCUUGUAGCCAGCCAUGUUUUUAUGUGACCAUCCAAGUUGUGUUAAAAGAAAACAAUAGUUCAUGUUUUAUUGGAACUAUGAUGCUGAUAGUCAUUUUAUGUAAAAGGCUUUUAUGAACUAUAUUUAAAUACUCAGUAUAAUAAGAUUAAGAUUUCUUGAUAAAAGCAAUAAUGAGCAAUAUCAUUUUAA